UGGCAAAAGCCGGCUUGUUUGGGUUGAAAUAUAAAUGGGCGAGGGGACCCCAGCUCCUGGGAAUUGAAACAUCUUAGUACCAGAAGGGAUAAAUCAAGCAAGAUGCCGGAGUAGUGGCAAGCGAAAGCGGAGCAAGGUGGAAAAGUAAGUUAAACCGCAGAGGGUAACAGGCCCGUAAUUUACUUUGUAACCUACGUUUUAGUCAUUAGACCCCCGCAUAUUCGGGAAGUAGAAUAAUUUGAAGAAGGGUGAACCACACAUUCAACAUCACGAAAAGUUAUGCACCGAGAGAGGGAGUGCCGUGAGGGAAGGCUGAAAGAAUGGUGAAAACGGAAAUUUAUUGCACAUUAUAGCAGAUGUAGUCAUUGUACCUUUUGUAUAAUGGGUUUCAUGAGUAAAAUAUUUGGCAAAUUUAAGUCAAUGGACGGAGGUGUAGCGAAAGCGAGCCAGGUGAGGCACGAGUCAAAUACGACCUGAAACCAAGUGAUCUAAUCAUGAGCAGUCUGAAACUUGUCGCAAGGCAAAAUUGAGGGACGCACCAGUGGUUGUGGCAAAAAUCCUGGAAGACCUGUUGUAAGUGGUCAAAGGCCAAUCAAACUUGGCGAUAUCUGGUUUUCGACAAAAGCUAUUUAAGUAGUGUGUUGCUGUAUAAAAUAAAUUACCCCUGCAUGGUAGGGCAUUGAUUGGGCCCAGGGCAGAUAUCUGCUCUGUGUUCAGUCAAACCAUGAAAGCAUCACAAGCGACCAACCACCAACCUGCGGUUGGUGGUACCUAAGUACUUAUGUGGGCAAAAUGUGCGGAGGGAAAGAGUGACAGACAGUUGGUGUGAAGGUUGACUGUCGAGAGGGGAACAGCCCAGAUCAGAAGGGCACGAAGUAUGGGUUGAGUAUGUAAGGAAGAAGGAGAGACAAUGGGAAAGUAGGCUUGGAACCAGCUAUCUUUGAAAGAUUACAUAGAAGUUCACCUGAAUGACUAACGGACACUGAAAAUAUAAGUGGUUAAUUAAACCCAAUGGGACACAAACCGCAUUGGUGGGUUGUGUUUCACCCCGAAACUCUGAAGAGAAGAGAAAUCAACCAAGGUAGCCGAACGGACUGUAUUGAUAAUGAUGGCAAGAGCCGGAAUCAGUUGUGAUGAUGCGAAUAUGAGUAAUGCUUCAGUGUGUGACGAGGGCAAAUAUGUAAAUAACGAUUUGUUAAAGAAAUCCCACCGCAGUGGGAUUCAAGCCAUUGAACACAGCCCAAGGAUUCCGAUUUAAUGAGAAUCAUAAUCGGGUGGGACGGCUCCUAAGAUAUAAUUGAGAGGUACCUCUGUUUAAGAUAAGAGGGGGCGCCGACUGUUUACCAAAAACUUAGCCAUCAGCAAAGGGCCAAGGGCCUGAAGUAAUGGUGUGCGAUGCCUGCCCAGAGGUUAGAUUGGAACUCGAAUGAUGAAAAUUAUUUGAAUAAGGACAACUCAAUGGCCGCGGUAUCUCUGACCGUGAUAAUGUAGCAUAGUAACUAGCCAAUUAAUUGUUGGCACAUAUGAAAGGCUUCACAAGUGUCCCGCUGUCUCGAGAUAUAAAAUUGAAUUUG
Non-coding RNA from Amphimedon queenslandica, 1574 nucleotides. NCBI's taxonomy places the organism in Eukaryota, Metazoa, Porifera, Demospongiae, Haplosclerida, Niphatidae. The record is from Rfam.